GAACAACGACGUUUACAUCUUCGAUACGCUUCAAGAUGGCUUCUCCCGUAGACGGCUCUCUGGUCUUCACGUUGGUUUAUCCGUUUUAACAACGAAUGCAGUCUUCACAGGCGAAACCUAGGACUCAAACCAAGACAUUCGAGAGAGACAAGUAUACGAGAGGAACGGUGGAGGUGAGCAGACGGAGGAGAAACACAACGACCGAGACAGUCAAUUAGUUUUGCCUCUUUGCGGCGUGUCACCUGCAGACAGAAACUUCAUUUCCAGUGAUUAAAUUCCCCAAAAAUAUUUCAUCUGUCAGUGUCACGGCCACCGACGUGUCCUGCGCACUCAGCCGUG
Molecule: long non-coding RNA, 339 nt
Organism: Ictalurus punctatus (channel catfish)
Lineage: Eukaryota; Metazoa; Chordata; Actinopteri; Siluriformes; Ictaluridae
Source: Ensembl